UGCACUGGUUCUCCACUUACAGGAUAUCAGGCUUCCUCUCAUUUUGCUACGGCAUAUCUUCAAAGAGCUUCUUAAUACAACUUCAUAGCAGUUUCCAGGUGAUGCUGAGGCUGCUGAUUUGGGGACCUCACUUUGAGAAUGAUGGGCAGUGGCUAAGUACACCAACUCUCGUGCGAGACUGGCUGAGUUCACGUCCCAACUAUACCUCCUCACUACAUAUAUGAUCUGGGAUCUGUCCUUACAUUCAUUGCCUGCUGAGACAACCCACAGGGCUUGCUGAGGCAAAAGGAAAAAUAAACCCUUAAGGCUCAGAUGAAAACGACUACAACUCAAAUCCUGAAAGAGGCUUCUAAGUCAGAGUAAUGAGGAGCAUGGGCAGUGAGGAGCAAAGCUCAUACUACGAUGGGGGGCUGUAGCUGCUGGACAGAGAACAAGGACAGUUUGCCCCCUUCUGUGCCUUGGGCCAUUACCACUACGGCCCCCUCCUUUUCACACAGAUUCCCUCUCUUCUUGUUUCUUCCCAUUCCUCCUGUGUCCCAUGGCCCCAUGUUCUUUGUCCCCUAGAGUCUGCAAAAAGGAGAAAGAGCCCCUAUUUCCUCAAACCAUCAAGGGCAAGGAUCUUGUCUGACUUGGGAAUAAAAGGACAAAUCCAUGAAUAAACAAAAUUGUUGCAUAGAGGGAAGUAUUAUGUUGAUGGGCCUCAAUGUAAAUCAUCAAGAAGGAUUGUUUUUCAUCUCUUGUCUAGAGGGGAACAAGGAAGAUGUCCAUUGGUUGCUGUUGUCUGCCCAUCAAAGGCUUGAGCCAGGACAGAGUCUAGAAAUGAGGAGGCAUUCUAAACAAUGAAUAGCACCACAGAGCUCUACAUGUUGAAAACAAUAGCUAACCUUUCUCGCUGCUUCAGGAUUUUGCUGCUGAUAAUUUCAGAUGACAUCUCUGCUUCUCUUCUUUUGUUCCUUUCCACAUUCUUCACCACACCAUUCAUGCUGACAGUCCAUUCAUGUUGCUAAUAGUUCUAUGCAAAAUGCAACCAUUAGCAAGGAAGGGCUUUGCUACUGGAUGAAGAGACAGUAUAAUGUAGUAUAAGAGUGUGGACAAGUGCUGUCCGAUGGAAAUAGAUGGCAAGCCGUGAAUGUCAUUGAAAAUUUUCUCAUGGCCAUAUUGAAAAAGAAAAGAAAUAGAUGAAACUAAUUUUAAUCAUCUCUUAUUGAACCCUGUGUAUCCAAAAUAUCAUUUCAACAUGUAAUCGAUAAAAAAAAUUGUUAAUGACAUAUUUUAUAUGUUUCAUACUAAGUUGUCAAAAUUUAGUGUGCAUUUUAUACUUAUAGUAUGUCUCAGUUCUGACUGGCCACAUUUCAUUGGCUUAACAGCGACAUGGGCUGGUGGGCACUGGCAGUGCAGAUAUGGGCUCUAUAGCCAGAGUACCUAAGGGUGUAAUUCUGGGAAAGUUACAUAAUCUCUGUGCUUCAGCGUCCUCAUCUAUUAACUGGGGAAAUGGUAGUCCCUACCUCAUUUAGAAUUGUUAUGAGGAUUAAAUGAGCACUUAGGUCAUUGUCUGACACAGACCUGGCACUCAGUAAAUGUUAGCUCUUAUCCUCAGAUAUACAUUUAACCACAUCCUUAUAAUGAUCAAUGCAAUCUUUCAGUAAGGACCUACUCUAGGCUUUCUAAGUAGGGACUGUAUGUCUGAGAUCUUGCAAUGAUGAAAAUCACAUGCCACUUCACAAUUCCUCUGUCACUUCAAACAAAGGCUAUCCGGGAGAGUUUGAUCUGAAGAUGUGCUUUUACAAAGCUGGGUAACCUGUAACUUGACAAACUUCUUUAGACUAUUAAGUCUGCAAAUAGUUUAUCACUGAAUUUUCCAGAUAAGCAGUAUUAUAUUUUUAUUGGGAUAUAAAAUUAGGUUCACAGCUAUAAAAUUAUCCCAGCUUGCUUUUUCAUGCUCUCUUACGAGAAGUGAAACCACGCUUCACUACAGUAAGAAGAUAGCACUCGUCUUCCUGAGACUAUGGCUUACAGCCACAAAUCCAUAUUAAUAUCACAGGAUAUAUUUGGGGGCUUGAGCAGCAUGAUACAUAAAUUAUUAC
Long non-coding RNA from Equus caballus (horse), 2084 nucleotides. RefSeq lists it as uncharacterized. The record is from RefSeq and is a predicted model, not a curated record. NCBI's taxonomy places the organism in Eukaryota, Metazoa, Chordata, Mammalia, Perissodactyla, Equidae.